GAUGAACGCUGGCGGCGUGCCUAAUACAUGCAAGUCGAACGAAACUUCUUUAUCACCGAGUGCUUGCACUCACCGAUAAAGAGUUGAGUGGCGAACGGGUGAGUAACACGUGGGCAACCUGCCCAAAAGAGGGGGAUAACACUUGGAAACAGGUGCUAAUACCGCAUAACCAUAGUUACCGCAUGGUAACUAUGUAAAAGGUGGCUAUACUACCGCUUUUGGAUGGGCCCGCGGCGCAUUAGCUAGUUGGUAGGGUAAAGGCUUACCAAGGCAAUGAUGCGUAGCCGAAUUGAGAGGGUGAUCGGCCACAUUGGGACUGAGACGCGGCCCAAACUCCGACGGGAGGCAGCAGUAGGGAAUCUUCCACAAUGGGCGAAAGCCUGAUGGAGCAACGCCGCGUGGGUGAAGAAGGUCUUCGGAUCGUAAAACCCUGUUGUUAGAGAAGAAGGUGCGUGAGAGUAACUGUUCACGUUUCGACGGUAUCUAACCAGAAAGCCACUGCUAACUACGUG
Molecule: ribosomal RNA, 512 nt
Filed under: uncultured bacterium
Lineage: Bacteria
Description: partial 16S ribosomal RNA
Rfam family: Bacterial small subunit ribosomal RNA
Source: RNAcentral